AGUGAACGCUGGCGGUAGGCCUAACACAUGCAAGUCGAACGGCAGCACAGUAAGAGCUUGCUCUUACGGGUGGCGAGUGGCGGACGGGUGAGGAAUACAUCGGAAUCUACUUUUUCGUGGGGGAUAACGUAGGGAAACUUACGCUAAUACCGCAUACGACCUACGGGUGAAAGCAGGGGAUCUUCGGACCUUGCGCGAUUGAAUGAGCCGAUGUCGGAUUAGCUAGUUGGCGGGGUAAGGGCCCACCAAGGCGACGAUCCGUAGCUGGUCUGAGAGGAUGAUCAGCCACACUGGAACUGAGACACGGUCCAGACUCCUACGGGAGGCAGCAGUGGGGAAUAUUGGACAAUGGGCGCAAGCCUGAUCCAGCCAUACCGCGUGGGUGAAGAAGGCCUUCGGGUUGUAAAGCCCUUUUGUUGGGGAAGAAAAGCAGCAGGUUAAUACCCCGCUGUUCUGACGGUACCCAAAGAAUAAGCACCGGCUAACUUCGUG
RNAcentral lists this ribosomal RNA (492 nucleotides) under uncultured bacterium. RNAcentral's name for it is "partial 16S ribosomal RNA". It matches the Rfam family "Bacterial small subunit ribosomal RNA", at positions 29 to 507 of the family's 1533-position model. The record is from RNAcentral.